GACGAACGCUGGCGGCGUGCUUAACACAUGCAAGUCGAACGGUGAAGCGCCUUCCUUUUUGGUGGGUGUGGAUGAGUGGCGAACGGGUGAGUAACACGUGAGUAACCUGCCCCCUUCUUCUGGAUAACCGCAUGAAAGUGUGGCUAAUACGGGAUAUUCUGGGUCUGUCGCAUGAUGGGUCCGGGAAAGAUAUUGUUUCGGUGGGGGAUGGGCUCGCGGCCUAUCAGCUUGUUGGUGGGGUGAUGGCCUACCAAGGCGGUGACGGGUAGCCGGCCUGAGAGGGUGGACGGUCACACUGGGACGGAGACACGGCCCAGACUCCUACGGGAGGCAGCAGUGGGGAAUAUUGCACAAUGGGCGCAAGCCUGAUGCAGCGACGCCGCGUGAGGGAUGGAGGCCUUCGGGUUGUGAACCUCUUUCGCCAGUGAAGCAGGCCUGCCUCGUUUGUGGGUGGGUUGACGGUAGCUGGAGAAGAAGCGCCGGCUAACUACGUG
Molecule: ribosomal RNA, 494 nt
Filed under: uncultured bacterium
Lineage: Bacteria
Description: partial 16S ribosomal RNA
Rfam family: Bacterial small subunit ribosomal RNA
Source: RNAcentral